GGUUCGGUGGUCUAGGGGUAUGAUUCUCGCUUAGGGUGCGAGAGGUCCCGGGUUCAAAUCCCGGCCGGAACCCA
Molecule: transfer RNA, 74 nt
Filed under: Caerostris darwini
Lineage: Eukaryota; Metazoa; Arthropoda; Arachnida; Araneae; Araneidae
Description: tRNA-Pro
Rfam family: tRNA
About the family: Transfer RNA (tRNA) molecules are approximately 80 nucleotides in length. Their secondary structure includes four short double-helical elements and three loops (D, anti-codon, and T loops). Further hydrogen bonds mediate the characteristic L-shaped molecular structure. tRNAs have two regions of fundamental functional importance: the anti-codon, which is responsible for specific mRNA codon recognition, and the 3' end, to which the tRNAs corresponding amino acid is attached (by aminoacyl-tRNA synthetases). tRNAs cope with the degeneracy of the genetic code in two manners: having more than one tRNA (with a specific anti-codon) for a particular amino acid; and 'wobble' base-pairing, i.e. permitting non-standard base-pairing at the 3rd anti-codon position.
Source: RNAcentral